GUGGGAAUGAUGAGGCGGCUUUGAAAGCGGGGUGGGGGAGAGGGAGGAGCCAGUUGGAGAGGCUGGGAAAACGGAAGGGCUGUAUCCUGGGCAAAUAGAGUUCUUGUAAAAGUAUCUAGUUUUAAAAAACAAAAGUAAAAAGUAUCGAGGUUUUAUUUCAUGUCCCGUUGUUCAAAGGAAGUCUGUAACAGAACGCUCCAAGAUGCCCGAAGAGAAAACUGCUCAUUCAAGAAGCACAUGAUAAGAACACAUUAGUGUCCGAGUCAAAAUAAUGAGGUUUUAUCCCUUAACGAUAAUAUCGUUAGGCCCACCUUCAGACGUGAAAGUGUGAAAAAGGAUUAAAUACUCAUUAGAAGGAGAGCAUCAAACAACAAGGUUUUAUUUUUAAACAGUAAUUUUUCUCAAACUGCAAACAAAUAUGCAGAAUAUGCUUUGCUUAAGGACAUUCCCUGAUUACUAGGAAAUGAAUCAACACAAAAACUCAAGAAUAUACAUCAUAAUAUAACACAAUUUUAUUUCCGCCUUCUAGAAAAUGUUCCCGGAAUGUGGAAGAAGCUUGUGUAAAAAUAGAUGUUCAGAGUAACAAGAUUUAUAAUAGCACAGCCUUAGAAAUCUAAACACGUUAUUUAAGUAAAAUAUCAGGCAGGUAUUUAAAAUUAUGUUAACAAAAACCUUGUGUUUGUCUUAUAUUUGUUAAAAGCCAAAUGCGAAAUUUUUAUAUAAUAUGACUUAAACUAUAUUGACAUACAUAUAAUGCACAAAAAGUGUAGGUCAGUUUUUCAAAAUCACAGCAAGCAAUUAGAUCUAAGGAUGGAAUUAUAGGUAAAUUACUUUUAUUUCUUUAUACUUUUCUGUUUUUUCUAGAUUUUUCCAUAAUGAGUAUAUAUUGUCUUAUGAUCUAUAAAACAAAAUUUAAAAAUACAAGGGAGAUGAGACUGGCUAUUUGUAGAGAAUGAACCCAAUUUAGAUAUACAAAUAUACUGUAAGUAUACAAGGUAAAGCAACCAAAGGACGGUGAGAUAGCAAAAUUUUAACAGUGGUUGUAACUUUGUAAUGGCUUAUGGCUGAUUUGUCUUCUUUAUACUUUAAGAUAGCUACCAAAAUGUCUUCCAUGAGCAUAUAUUAUAUAUUAGAAUAUUAAAUAUCUUUUAAGAUGGUAAGAAUAAUACCAUCAUAUUAAGUAUAGUUUUAAACUAAUGGGCAAAUCCUGGCACAAAUACUCCCUGAAGUAUGUUUGAUACUGUUAAUUCCUACUUAAUGUCAAUGUUUUCUUCUCUUUCUGUUACUAAUUUAACCCUGUGUUGGGAAUGACAGUGUUCUCUUUUAAAAAAAAAAAUCUCUCAACCUCUUUCUCAGUGAGAGUGGCCUGUGACAUGGUCUAGCCAAUGAGAUGUAAGUGUAAUCACUGGAUGAGGUGUCAGGGAAAGCACUUCCAUUUUAUGUCUAUUGCCUUUCCUUUUCUUUCUACUUGAAAUGAGAAUAUGCUGGCUGAAGCUCCAGCAGCCUUGCUGUGAACAUAAACAUGAGGGUCACAUCUUAAGGAUGGUGGAACAAAAAUGAAAAAGGAACCUGAGUUCCUGGUAACGUCAUGGAACAGCCCUAUCAGCUUCUUGACUGGCUAUCUCCAGACUUUGCAUGAGAGAAGAUAAACUCCUAUUUUAUUAAGCUACUAUUAUUUGGGUUUUUUGCUACAUUCAGCCAAACUGAAUCCCUGACUGCUACAAUGGGUAUGACUUUGGAAGUAUUAUUUAGCGUUUUGUGCUACAUUGAAUUAUUCUCCCUAAUCCUUCAUGCCUCUUAGCAUCCACACCUUUGCCAUGGACUUUGGUGGAGUAUACUUCCCCAAUCCUUGAUUUUGAAUUUAGCCAUGUGACUUGCUUUGGCCAAUAGGUUGUGGUGAAGCAACGGUGUGCCAAAUCAGAUCCAAGAUCUUAAAGAGACCCCAUAUUUCUGCUUUCUCUCUUGUGCCUGUAUCAUUGCCAUGAGAAGUACAUACAAAGCAAGCUCUUUGGUCCCAGAAUCACAUGCAUAUGGCACAGAAUUGCCUGAACCGAUCUUUUAGUAAGAUGCAGAGAUGCCCAACUAGGGCCCAGCCUAGAUCAGCCAAACUCCAGUCAACCUGUAGAUGUGUGAUAAUGAAUGAGUAUUGUUUUAAACCGCUGAGUUUUUGAGUGGCUUAUUAUACAGUAUAAGUGUGGAAAGAGUUCAUUUAUAAACCUUUCAGUGAUUUAAAUUUCUCAUUUAUAAAACAAAACAAUGGUAUCUAUCUCGUGGAGUUGUGAGAGUAAAAUGAGAUAGCCGUCAUGAAGCACUUAGCACAGCAUCUGACAUAGAUAAAAGGAUUCAUAAAUUUUAGAAACUAGUAUUUUAUGACCUUUAUCAUGGUUAUUAUUGACAACAUCAACUAUGACAAUAUAUUUUAUACUCCCAUGGUUUAUUGGACUUCUAGUCUUUGUAGAACUAUUUGUUCCUAGUUUUAACACGGCAGCAAUGGCAUUUAAUUAAAAAACACGGAGGAACCAGAGUGCAUCCAGAGAAUAAGAAAAAUUUUGUCAGAAUAAGAUAGAGAGAACUGGAUAUAUUUACCUUGAGAAAAAGAAGGCAUGAGAACUCUUCUCAGUUUUGUUAAAAGAGAAACCAAGUUUUAUGUUGUUUCAAAACACCAGAUUACAAAUCUACAUAAAACAGUCUUAAAAUAGAAUUGUGAUGGAAGUCAUCCUAGAAGAAGUGAAACCCAUUUUAUCAAAUGUUUUUUAUCUAAAAGCUAAAAGAUUGCCUUUAAGAAUAUUGUAGAAUUAAUUUCUUCUGAUUAAGUAUCUUUAAUAUGUCACAAACUGUUCAACAUUUAAAGAGAGAAUUAUAUAUUUUUCCUUUUCCUCAGGCUUUAAGAAGUUUUAAGCUCAAAUGAGUUGAGCUUCUUAGCAUGUUUAAUAAUUUUUUAUUGAGCCGGGCACGGUGGCUCACGCCUGUAAUCCCAGCACUUCGGGAGGCCAAGGUGGGUGGAUCGCCUGAGGUCAGGAGUUUGAGACCAACCUGGCCAACAUAGUUAAACGCCGUCUCCACUAAAAAUACAAAAAAUUAGCUGGGCACGGUGGCGGGCGCCUGUAAUCCCAGCUGCUCGGGAGGCUGAGGCAGGAGAAUUGCUUGAAGCUGGGAGGCGGAGGUUACAGUGAGCCGAGAGAUCGCUCCAUUGCACUCCAGCUUGGGCAACAAGAGCGAAACUCCGUCUCAAAAACAAACAACAACAACAAAAAAUAAUAAUAAUUUUUUAUUGAAUACUGGACGUUGUGAAUUGCAUCCUUGUUCAGUGUCUGAAUUGUCCCCCUUUAGGAAGGGUUGUGCUGUUUUUUUCAGCCAGUUAUUUGUGGAUGAGUUUGAUUCAUUUGUGGACUGUUUUUAAGCUUUAUUAGGGUAGGUCUAGAGUAGUCUUCAUUCCAGAAAUAAUUUGACCUUACUACUAAUUAAUAACUGCUCAGAGGUCUUCAAUGAAUUCCUUGGUUUUCACUGAGGACUCUUCACUCUGGCUGGUCAGAGCUCAAAUGUCUUCUCAUCCUCUGUGAGCUCUAAGAAUUAUUUAGCUUAUACUCCCUGGUCAUUCUGUGCUCGACUGUGUGGAUUGUCAAUCCAUACAUGAACAGCCAAGUACUUAGCAAAGUCUCAGAUUUAUGAAUUCUAUUUAUUUAUUUGUAUAGCUUCAUCCCUUCCAAAACUUUGCCCUUCAAUUUCCACAUCUGUGAACUCUGAUCUCUGUCUCCUCAACUCAAUAAAGUCCCUAGGCAGUGGGUUUACCUUUCUAUGCCCAGGAUCUGGAAACUGCCUCCAGGCAGAAAUUUGGGGGCAAUAAUAGCAAACAGUUGUUUUAUAUAUUUUGCCCAGUUUUCUAGUUGUUUGUGGUAGGAAGUUAAGUCCAGUCCUUGUUAUUCCAUCAUGGUCAGAAGUGGAACCUUGGGUAACCUUGGAGAGAGGCUAAUAGGAAAUAACCAUCUGGGAGGGUAGAAGAGUGGGUGGGCUUACUAGAAACUUUCAGUAACUUUCAGUAAUUACUGAGAAGUAAUGAAUGUGCAUCUGAGUGUCAGGAUCAUGAAUUUAAAGUGAAAGCAUUUUGCCAUGUUAAGUGAUUUUCUUUGGAAAUUAUUCAGCAGCUCAGGAGCAAGCAUGAUCUUGAAGAAUGGUUGGCUUGACCAGGAACUAGCGUAUUGCCAGACUAGCAUUAUCAUGCUAGACCAUGCAUUUAAACCAAUGUAGAGCAACAAAAGCAAUUUACUAGUUUUUUUGUUUGUUUGUUUGUUGUGAGACAGAGUCUCACUCUGUCACCCAGGCUAGCAUGCAGUGGCACAAUCUCAGCUCACUGCAACCUCCACCUCCUAGGUUCAAGUGAUUCUCUUGCCUCAGCCUCCUGAGUAGCUGGGACUAAAGGCAUGUGCCACCAUGCCCAGCUAAUUUUUGUAUUUUUUGUAGAGACAGGGUUUCACCAUGUUGGCCAGGCUGGUCUUGAACUCCUAACCUCAAGUGAUCUGCCCGCCUUGGCCUCCCAAAGUGCUGGGAUUACAGGCAUGAGCCACCGGCCCAGCCAGCAGUUCUUUAGAUAUUGUGAAGAUCUAAGCUAAAUUUUUCAGUUGCUAACAAAGAUAGAUAAUUAACAUUUGAAAGAGUACUUUGGAGCUUACAAAGCUAUUUCACAGAUAGAUAACUCAUCUGUUCCUUAAAACAGCCUCAUGAGAGUGAACAUUAUUAUUUCACUUUACAGAUAUAGAAAUCAAUAUUCAGAGAGCAAGAGACUAGUCUAAGACUGCAAAGCUACUAAGUUACGGAGCCAUCUUAAGUCUUAUUGCUCUUAUAAGUACUUAAAAUGAGGGGAAUUCUUUUAAGCUUCUGAAAAUUCUAGACUCUUUUUCCCAAAAAAUUCAUAGAGCCCCUAAUUUUAUAUAUAAUUUCAGAUAAUAUACAGAUUCCCUGAAGUUCAUGCAAGUGGCAGUGUACUCUUGGUUUAAAAUUUCUAAUUUUUUCAGCACUGUAAGACAGGGUGGGAAAAAAAAAUUUCUAGUUUUUAACUUGCAUCUAGAUAGUAGUUACAUGGCUAUUCACUUUAUAAUUUUUUAACUGUAUAGAUAUAUACAUAUAUACACAUAUACACAUACGUAUAUAUACAUAUGUAUUUAUACACAUAUGUAUAUAUGUAUAUAUAAAUAUAUAUGUUACACUGACUUUUCUGUAUAUGUUUUAUAAUAAAAAAUAAAGGCUCAAUAAUAUAGAACUUCUCUACUUUUAGUUGUGCUUUGUGGAUGUUAAGCAUUAAAACAGAGCUGUAUUCCUAAAAAAUCCUCAAAAGUUAAAAAAAUAUAUAUUGUGUUAUUCACUUUGUUUUCAUUGUCUUUCUCCAUUAUUAUCCAUGUGCUUCACAACAGCUCUCCUUUUUUAAAAAAAACACAACCUGUAUAUUACAUGUAGGGCAUCGAUUUUGAAACUGUGAAAGUCAGAGUCCUGGAAUUAGCUGACAAUCUCCUUUUCCAGUUUAUCUUUCCUUCUCCACAAAAAGGCUUGAUAACGGAGAGGGAAGUUGAGAUUUCAGGUCAAUAAUGAGAAAGAAAUUAUGGAACAAGUAAGACAAUGCAAGUCACCCUUAUUUCCGUUUCUCUUAGGAUAAGCAUGAGCUAUUUUCUUGUACUUUCCCAUAUCCUUUUAGUCAGGAGGAUCACAAGAUUAUUCCUUAACCAUCUUCUUCAUGGAGAUUCUUUUUCAAAUGUUAUUUACAUGGGCACAGAUACAAAAAGGCAGAAAAAAAAGCAGAUAGUUUCGUUUCCUGAUACAAACAUAGCAUAGCUUCUUGAGUUCAAGGGUCCUGUCUAACCCUUAAAAAUCUACUUUUCUUUGUAAUUAUCAAGAAUAUUUUGGCCGGGAGCUGUGGCUCACGCCUGUAAUCCCAGCACUUCGGGAGGCUGAGG
RNAcentral lists this long non-coding RNA (5942 nucleotides) under Homo sapiens (human). RNAcentral describes it as "HSALNT0109595". The record is from RNAcentral. Lineage: Eukaryota; Metazoa; Chordata; Mammalia; Primates; Hominidae.